RNAcentral lists this ribosomal RNA (427 nucleotides) under uncultured Anoxybacillus sp. Its description in RNAcentral is "bacterial SSU rRNA". It matches the Rfam family "Bacterial small subunit ribosomal RNA", at positions 355 to 774 of the family's 1533-position model. Lineage: Bacteria; Bacillati; Bacillota; Bacilli; Caryophanales; Anoxybacillaceae. The record is from RNAcentral.
UAGGGAAUCUUCCGCAAUGGACGAAAGUCUGACGGAGCAACGCCGCGUGAGCGAAGAAGGUCUUCGGAUCGUAAAGCUCUGUUGUUAGGGAAGAACAAGCAUGACAGUAACUGGUCAUGCCGUGACGGUACCUAACGAGGAAGCCACGGCUAACUACGUGCCAGCAGCCGCGGUAAUACGUAGGUGGCAAGCGUUGUCCGGAAUUAUUGGGCGUAAAGCGCGCGCAGGCGGUCUAUUAAGUCUGGUGUGAAAGCCCCCGGCUCAACCGGGGAGGGUCAUUGGAAACUGGUAGACUUGAGUGCAGAAGAGGAGAGCGGAAUUCCACGUGUAGCGGUGAAAUGCGUAGAGAUGUGGAGGAACACCAGUGGCGAAGGCGGCUCUCUGGUCUGUAACUGACGCUGAGGCGCGAAAGCGUGGGUAGCGAACA